RNAcentral lists this ribosomal RNA (481 nucleotides) under uncultured bacterium. RNAcentral's name for it is "partial 16S ribosomal RNA". It matches the Rfam family "Bacterial small subunit ribosomal RNA", at positions 28 to 523 of the family's 1533-position model. The record is from RNAcentral.
GACGAACGCUGGCGGCGUGCUUAACACAUGCAAGUCGAGCGGAAAGGCCACUUCGGUGGUACUCGAGCGGCGAACGGAUGAGUAACAUGUGAGUAAUCUGCCCCUGGCUUUGGGAUAGCCACCGGAAACGGUGAUUAAUACCGGAUACGACCACUUCUCGCAUGGGAUGGUGGUGGAAAGUUUUUUCGGCCAGGGAUGUGCUCGCGGCCUAUCAGCUUGAUGGUGAGGUAAUGGCUCACCAUGGCUUCGACGGGUAGCCGGCCUGAGAGGGUGACCGGUCACACUGGGACUGAGACACGGCCCAGACUCCUACGGGAGGCAGCAGUGGGGAAUAUUGGACAAUGGGCGGAAGCCUGAUCCAGCAACGCCGCGUGAGGGAUGACGGCCUUCGGGUUGUAAACCUCUUUCAGCAGGGACGAAGCGCAAGUGACGGUACCUGCAGAAGAAGCACCGGCCAACUACGUGCCAGCCGCCGCGGUAA